GGCUCAGUUGGUAGAGCAUGGCACUUGCAAUGCCAGGGUUGUGGGUUCGAUUCUCAC
Molecule: transfer RNA, 57 nt
Filed under: Salmo salar (Atlantic salmon)
Lineage: Eukaryota; Metazoa; Chordata; Actinopteri; Salmoniformes; Salmonidae
Rfam family: tRNA
About the family: Transfer RNA (tRNA) molecules are approximately 80 nucleotides in length. Their secondary structure includes four short double-helical elements and three loops (D, anti-codon, and T loops). Further hydrogen bonds mediate the characteristic L-shaped molecular structure. tRNAs have two regions of fundamental functional importance: the anti-codon, which is responsible for specific mRNA codon recognition, and the 3' end, to which the tRNAs corresponding amino acid is attached (by aminoacyl-tRNA synthetases). tRNAs cope with the degeneracy of the genetic code in two manners: having more than one tRNA (with a specific anti-codon) for a particular amino acid; and 'wobble' base-pairing, i.e. permitting non-standard base-pairing at the 3rd anti-codon position.
Source: Rfam by way of RNAcentral